UGAGAUCAUGACCUGAGCCAAAGUCAGCCAUCCAAUCGACUGAGCCAUCCAGACCUUUCUCAGGACAUUGAUUUGUAAAGAAGAUGGAACCACGUGUCCUCCAGAGGAUCCCUUCACUAUGUGAUUUUUUCUGAUUGCUUCCCUGUGGUGUCACGGAACUUUCCCCCCAGCUCUUGUAAUUUCUGUAAACUGGAAAUGAGAUCUAAAGGCUUGGUUAAAGUUAAAUAUCAUUAAUGGUGGAUUAAGGUGAUGGUGGUCUGUUACCCCAUUAUUCAGUUAUGGUUGUCCCUCUUUCUUCCAGAGAACAAUCUGGAAGGGGAUCCAUUGGCCCCCUGGUUCCCUGCUUCCCUCCAUCAUUCACUCAUGGUUUUAGGACCAGUUGUUCAUUCUUUCCUGUAUCAAUAAUUGUAUCAAAAGAUGAAAAUGGAGCUUUAGUUUAUCAUGCUCUCCCUUGUGAAUUAGCUGGCAUACCCUCCCCCAAAUUUUAUUGAGAAAUAAAUCACUGAUAUAAAUUGUUGAGAAUUA
Felis catus (domestic cat) is the source of this 525-nucleotide long non-coding RNA. RefSeq lists it as uncharacterized. The transcript has 2 exons. The record is from RefSeq and is a predicted model, not a curated record. NCBI's taxonomy places the organism in Eukaryota, Metazoa, Chordata, Mammalia, Carnivora, Felidae.